GGAGCUUUAAUUGGAACUGACCUUGUAAAGCAUGCUCCCUUAUGUUCAGGCUUACAGUCAUGGGUGGGCUGGCUGAUCUAUUUAAAAAUGCCUGGUUCACAUUAACUACCCAGUUUUCAGAGAGAGUUUUUAGAUGCUUGGCGGUAUCACACGGAACAAAUGACUGCGUUUGAAUAUUGAUCCGGCACCUUGGCAGUUAAUGGAAACAAUAAGUAUCGAUGUUGCUUGUAGCACCUCAGACAGCACUAUCAUGAAAUGUUUUGAGGUAAGAAAAUACUUUCCUUAAGGAAAAAAAAAUACUAAUUAUACAACUCCUGCUACUAGGACAACAGCUUUCCAGUUGCUGAUCUGUAUGUAUUUUUAGAAGGAACAGAAAUGAGAGUCAAGUAAGGUCUAACAAGCAAGGAGAUUCUCCCAGGACAGAUUUGAUCAAAAUUAGUUCCUAUGAUUAUAACAUAGAUCCAAAUGUAACAGGCCCAUCAAAUAGCAAAUGCACUGUUUUGCUCCAGAAGGCUACGCGGAAAAGAAAUGCUGUGUCUUUUUGCCGGUUGGGUGGAAGCAAGCAAAGGGUUGGAACUGGACGGGGCAAAGCAGGUGUUUACGAGGAAGCCUAGGACUGGACCCUGGCUCCACUGCCAAUCUGCUAUUGCUAACCUCUACACAGGCUUUCAAAGUGGAUGCCGUCCAGAAAUCCUAUUACAAUAAAUUUACUGUAUUAAAAAAAAAAAACUAAAGAGGAAAUAAGACACGGUCAUAUUAUUAAGUCUGACUGCUCACCAUUGCCAGCCUUUCAUCUAGCCCUUUGUUUAUUGUCAUCUUAUCCUGCGCUUAAUCUCAUAUAAAGUGUAGGUGCUCUAGUACAAGGACCUUCCAUUUUCUCUCUUUCAAGUGCCUUCUGCAUGUAUGAUACUACAUUUAAAGCACGGUUAUUUUAAAACAAGGAUCUGCCAUUUUCUUUGUCUUUAAAGUGCUUUCCACAUCUAUGUUGUGGAAAUAAAAUUUUGUUACAAAAACUUAGCCA
Molecule: long non-coding RNA, 1021 nt
Filed under: Struthio camelus australis
Lineage: Eukaryota; Metazoa; Chordata; Aves; Struthioniformes; Struthionidae
Description: lncRNA (ENSSCUG00000004872.1)
Source: RNAcentral